ACUACGGUGCUGAAGUAACAAAUGCCCUGCUUCCAGGAAAAGCCUCUAAGCAUCAGGUAACAUUAAAUCGUACCCCAAACCGACACAGGUGGUCAGGUAGAGAAUACCAAGGCGCUUGAGAGAACUCGGGUGAAGGAACUAGGCAAAAUGGUGCCGUAACUUCGGGAGAAGGCACGCUGGUGUGUAGGUGAAGUCCCUGCGGAUGGAGCUGAGACCAGUCGAAGAUACCAGCUGGCUGCAACUGUUUAUUAAAAACACAGCACUGUGCAAACACGAAAGUGGACGUAUACGGUGUGACGCCUGCCCGGUGCCGGAAGGUUAAUUGAUGGGGUUAUCCGUAAGGAGAAGCUCUUGAUCGAAGCCCCGGUAAACGGCGGCCGUAACUAUAACGGUCCUAAGGUAGCGAAAUUCCUUGUCGGGUAAGUUCCGACCUGCACGAAUGGCGUAAUGAUGGCCAGGCUGUCUCCACCCGAGACUCAGUGAAAUUGAACUCGCUGUGAAGAUGCAGUGUACCCGCGGCAAGACGGAAAGACCCCGUGAACCUUUACUAUAGCUUGACACUGAACAUUGAGCCUUGAUGUGUAGGAUAGGUGGGAGGCUUUGAAGCGUGGACGCCAGUCUGCGUGGAGCCAACCUUGAAAUACCACCCUUUAAUGUUUGAUGUUCUAACGUUGGCCCCUUACCGGGGUUGCGGACAGUGUCUGGUGGGUAGUUUGACUGGGGCGGUCUCCUCCCAAAGCGUAACGGAGGAGCACGAAGGUUAGCUAAUCCUGGUCGGACAUCAGGAGGUUAGUGCAAUGGCAUAAGCUAGCUUGACUGCGAGCGUGACGGCGCGAGCAGGUGCGAAAGCAGGUCAUAGUGAUCCGGUGGUUCUGAAUGGAAGGGCCAUCGCUCAACGGAUAAAAGGUACUCCGGGGAUAACAGGCUGAUACCGCCCAAGAGUUCAUAUCGACGGCGGUGUUUGGCACCUCGAUGUCGGCUCAUCACAUCCUGGGGCUGAAGUAGGUCCCAAGGGUAUGGCUGUUCGCCAUUUAAAGUGGUACGCGAGCUGGGUUUAGAACGUCGUGAGACAGUUCGGUCCCUAUCUGCCGUGGGCGCUGGAGAAUUGAGGGGGGCUGCUCCUAGUACGAGAGGACCGGAGUGGACGCAUCACUGGUGUUCGGGUUGUCAUGCCAAUGGCACUGCCCGGUAGCUAAAUGCGGAAGAGAUAAGUGCUGAAAGCAUCUAAGCACGAAACUUGCCCCGAGAUGAGUUCUCCCUGAGACUUUAAGUCUCCUGAAGGAACGUU
Molecule: ribosomal RNA, 1288 nt
Filed under: Klebsiella pneumoniae
Lineage: Bacteria; Pseudomonadati; Pseudomonadota; Gammaproteobacteria; Enterobacterales; Enterobacteriaceae
Description: partial 23S ribosomal RNA
Rfam family: Bacterial large subunit ribosomal RNA
Source: RNAcentral